RNAcentral lists this ribosomal RNA (260 nucleotides) under uncultured bacterium. RNAcentral describes it as "partial 16S ribosomal RNA". It matches the Rfam family "Bacterial small subunit ribosomal RNA", at positions 99 to 353 of the family's 1533-position model. The record is from RNAcentral.
CGAACGGGUGAGUAACACGUGGGUAACCUGCCCAUCNAAGGGGAUAACACUUGGAAACAGGUGCUAAUACCGUAUAACAAUCGAAACCGCAUGGUUUCGGUUUGAAAGGCGCUUUUGCGUCACUGAUGGAUGGACCCGCGGUGCAUUAGCUAGUUGGUGAGGUAACGGCUCACCAAGGCAACGAUGCAUAGCCGACCUGAGAGGGUGAUCGGCCACAUUGGGACUGAGACACGGCCCAAACUCCUACGGGAGGCAGCAUG